RNAcentral lists this small nuclear RNA (104 nucleotides) under Myotis brandtii (Brandt's bat). Lineage: Eukaryota; Metazoa; Chordata; Mammalia; Chiroptera; Vespertilionidae. The record is from RNAcentral.
GUGCUGGCUUCGGCAGCACAUAUACUAAAAUUGGAACAAUACAGAGUUUAGCAUGGCCCCUGUGCAAGGAUGACACACAAAUUUGUGAAGCGUUCCAUAUUUUA